Molecule: microRNA precursor, 104 nt
Filed under: Marmota monax (woodchuck)
Lineage: Eukaryota; Metazoa; Chordata; Mammalia; Rodentia; Sciuridae
Source: RNAcentral
AGAGGGAUAGCUGGGUUAAAUGGUAGUAGCAUUCCCCAAUUUUCCAAGAAAUAUGCAUACUUCUUUCCAUAUUGGCUACAUCAAUUUGCAGUCCAACCAGCAAU